GAUGAACGCUGGCGGCGUGCUUAACACGUGCAAGUCGAACGAAGCACCUCUCCCGAAGAUUGACACAGCUUGCUGUAGAUUGAUUCAUUUGAGGUGACUGAGUGGCGGACGGGUGAGUAACGCGUGGGUAACCUGCCUCAUAGAGGGGGACAACAGUUGGAAACGACUGCUAAUACCGCAUAGUAAGAAGAAUUCGCAUGUUUUCUUCUUGAAAGAUUUAUCGCUAUGAGAUGGACCCGCGUCUGAUUAGCUAGUUGGUAAGGUAACGGCUUACCAAGGCGACGAUCAGUAGCUGGCUUGAGAGAGUGAACGGCCACAUUGGGACUGAGACACGGCCCAAACUCCUACGGGAGGCAGCAGUGGGGAAUAUUGCACAAUGGGGGAAACCCUGAUGCAGCGACGCCGCGUGAGUGAAGAAGUAUUUCGGUAUGUAAAGCUCUAUCAGCAGGGAAGAUAAUGACGGUACCUGACUAAGAAGCCCCGGCUAACUACGUG
This 495-nucleotide ribosomal RNA is filed under the name uncultured bacterium. RNAcentral's name for it is "partial 16S ribosomal RNA". It matches the Rfam family "Bacterial small subunit ribosomal RNA", at positions 28 to 507 of the family's 1533-position model. The record is from RNAcentral.